RNAcentral lists this transfer RNA (72 nucleotides) under Capra hircus (goat). It matches the Rfam family "tRNA". From Rfam's summary of the family: Transfer RNA (tRNA) molecules are approximately 80 nucleotides in length. Their secondary structure includes four short double-helical elements and three loops (D, anti-codon, and T loops). RNAcentral also lists the same sequence under 1 other name. Lineage: Eukaryota; Metazoa; Chordata; Mammalia; Artiodactyla; Bovidae. The record is from Rfam by way of RNAcentral.
UCCCUGGUGGCUCAGACAGUAAAGAAUCUGCCUGCAGUGCAGGAGACCCAGGUUCAAUCCCUGGUCAGGAAG